Molecule: long non-coding RNA, 821 nt
Organism: Megalopta genalis
Lineage: Eukaryota; Metazoa; Arthropoda; Insecta; Hymenoptera; Halictidae
Source: RefSeq, a predicted model, not a curated record
CCAACGAAUCGAAUCUGUCCGCACACGCUAAGAGCCUGGUUCUAUCAACCGCCGCGCCAAAGUAAUCCCUAUUAAUCGGUGGGCAAACUGUUAACGACUUAUUCGCGUGGAAAUUUAACGUGUACAAGCAUCAGUUGUCGUUUGGAAAUUGCUGGAACAUUGACAAAUCACACUUCAGUCAUUACCGAACACUCUGUACCUUAUUAGCGAUUCGAGAAUCCUUGCGCUUUCAACAUUGUCUGUUCCACUCGAGCCACCUACGCGACUUUCGUACGAAAUCUUUAUUGUCAUGGGACUUCGAUUAUCCUGAGGGAAGUACAUAAGGCGGAAAGUACAUAAGGAAAGUACAUAAAGUGUAUAUAAAAUGUUGCUAUAAUACAGUAGUUCGUUUUGUUACAGUGCUAAAUUUGAUCUGCUCUAAUUUGGACAUGAAGCAGCGUGCACGUGGAUCGGCUUAAAUUCAUCUAUUAUUGAUUACUGAACGGCAGCAUGAACAGUCCAGAAAUCUGCGAUCCUUUCAAACUACGAGGAGUAUCACGUCCGUUUUCAAGCACGAGUAUCUGUUUACACGAGAAUCUCGCCGGGCUUUAUAUGCUCGUAAUAACUGCAUAAACGGAAUCAUUUGCAACACGAGUCAGUGUUGCGAUACAUUAAAUUCUGAUUGCACAUAUUGCCGACAGAAUAUAUUUAGAACUAUUUAAGUAUCGUCAUGCAAACAUCUCGCAGCACCAUGGUUAAUUUGUGUACUCUUAUUACUUGGUGUUAACUAAAGAGCUUUAGCCCGUAAAUAAAUCUAUGAUAAUAAAGUAAAGUAAGUUGUA